Molecule: ribosomal RNA, 447 nt
Filed under: uncultured bacterium
Lineage: Bacteria
Description: bacterial SSU rRNA
Rfam family: Bacterial small subunit ribosomal RNA
Source: RNAcentral
CCAGACUCCUACGGGAGGCAGCAGUGGGGGAUAUUGGACAAUGGGGGAAACCCUGAUCCAGCGACGCCGCGUGAGUGAAGAAGUAUUUCGGUAUGUAAAGCUCUGUCAGCAGGGAAGAAAGAAAUGACGGUACCUGACCAAGAAGCCCCGGCUAACUACGUGCCAGCAGCCGCGGUAAUACGUAGGGGGCAAGCGUUAUCCGGAUUUACUGGGUGUAAAGGGAGCGUAGACGGCAGUGCAAGUCUGGAGUGAAAGGCGGGGGCUCAACCCUGGGACUGCUCUGGAAACUGUAAAGCUGGAGUGCGGGAGGGGCAGGCGGAAUUCCUGGUGUAGCGGUGAAAUGCGUAGAUAUCAGGAGGAACACCGGCGGCGAAGGCGGCCUGCUGGACCGUAACUGACGUUGAGGCUCGAAAGCGUGGGGAGCAAACAGGAUUAGAUACCCCAGUA